GUGCAGUGCACCAGCAUGGCACAUGUAUACAUAUGUAUCUAACCUGCACAAUGUGCACAUGUACCCUAAAACUUAAAGUAUAAUUAAAAAAAAAAAAGAAAAGAAAAAAAAUACUUGAGAAGACUUAAUUGAAUUUCCGUAACAAAUCACUGAGUACUUAUUGUGUUGGAGUAAAGUAACUUGAGCAUCAUUAAUAGUCUGGGGUUUCACUCUAAAUUUUGGCACCACAAGUAUUCUCAGAAUACGGUUUGUUCUGGGAAGUGAACCUAGGGUCUGAGUUCAUUUGCAUAAUUUAUUUCCAUGAUAUUAAAUCCUCUUAUAAUCAAAAUUAAUUAUCAAGAAAAAGUAAUAUUACCGAGAAUCUCCAGUCUGAAGUAUCAGCCAAUGUCAGUAUUAGUGAAUGACUUUAUACAAAGAGAGACUUUGUAUUUUGAAAUAGUCAUUGAAUAAACUUUUACAUUACAUCCUAUGUCCUUAGAUCAGCACUUGAAUAAGUACAGAUAUACUACACAUUGUCCUUUUCUAGAAAGCACUAAAGUCUAGUUAAGGUAAUAGAACAUCAAGCAACCAGAGAAAAUAAAAGCAGCAAAACAGGUGGCAUCUGUAUUAAAUAGCAUAUAAAUACUAAAACACGAAAUUGUAUUAUAUAGGCAAUCAGACUAUGUGAUGUAGACAAUGAAUGUAAAGGGAAUUUAAGAAGUUGCAGGAUGUACACCUUUGAAGGAGAGUUAAAAAAUGUCCAGCCAGAGUAGAGCUGGGGUUGGGGGUGGAGGCCAUCCAGCAAAAGUGAAGCCACAAAAACAAAACCAAGAAGGAAUGAAUAAGGCGUGUAUAUAAAACAGGACAUUUAGUGUCUGGCUAAAUUUGAGGCUUGGUAUUAAAGAAUAGUGGGGACCUAUAAAAAUGGCAAUUUUGUACAGUUCAACCUAAUAGGUAGGGAUGGAUGUGUUUAUGGAAAGCUGGGCCAAGGAGUGUCAGCAGAAGCUUGUUAUAAAGACUUACGUGGAAACACACAAAUCAACUUUUAACAUUGAAAUCUCAGGGGAGUAAGAUGAGGAAGACCAGUAUUUGUUAAAAUAAACAUGUUGCUUUUGCAACAAAUAAAAGGUAGAAAACAGAGUAGAGGCUGAGCACAGUAGCUCAUGCCUGUAAUCCCGACACUUUAGAGGCACACGUGGGAGGAUCGCUUCAGACCAGGAGUUCAAGGUUACAGUGACUGAUCGUGUCACUGCACUCCAAUCUAGGCGACAGAGCAUGACUCUGUCUCAAAAAAAAAAAAAAAAAAAAAAAAAGAAAGACAAAAAACAGAGUUAAAAAAAAAAAGGAGAAAAAUAAAUGUUUUAACUACAAGAGGACCCCCAAAAAGGCUUGUUCAUUAAAUACUUCAAAUAUUAGAACUAGGGGGUUUGCCUUGAGUAGGGAGGUUAGUUGUGGAUUUUAAAAGGCAGCACAUUUUUACUCAGUAGGUAGUAAGUUAACUGAGAAUUAGACACUUACUUAACUUUCUGAAAGUUAGCCUAAUUAGUCAGUUUGGGCUGAAAUUAUAGAUGGCUUCAAAUAAGCUAGUUAUCUUUGAAACAUAAUUUUAUCAAUAGUCCACAUCGUGGUGUUAUGAAUAAAACAAGAAGGUGAUGAAGGAUAAGGUAGCCCUAACCUUAGAUGCUGGUAUCA
RNAcentral lists this long non-coding RNA (1671 nucleotides) under Homo sapiens (human). Its description in RNAcentral is "HSALNT0088358". The record is from RNAcentral. Lineage: Eukaryota; Metazoa; Chordata; Mammalia; Primates; Hominidae.